Molecule: long non-coding RNA, 1974 nt
Organism: Magallana angulata
Lineage: Eukaryota; Metazoa; Mollusca; Bivalvia; Ostreida; Ostreidae
Exons: 2
Source: RefSeq, a predicted model, not a curated record
UUAUAAAUAAUUACGAAACUCACUCAGCACAAUGAUUUCCAAUUUUAAAAAGUAUUGAAAAGUUUGAGUUUCGAGUUUAAAUUGCCGUUAAAAUUAGCAAAUUCGAGUGAAAUCUGGUUGUCUUUCUUGGUUGAUUCACAAUAUCGUCGCUAGAUGGCGCCUCGUUGCUACGUACGCUAGUGCGCGAAAAUGGAAGUUCGAGUAGACUACACGGUUUCGGGACACUACGCAAACAGUUUCACAAGUCUGUAUAAAGCCGAUCCAGAAUAAACAACUCCAGUGACCCUUUGUAAUUGUUGCAGAGACAUAACAAGACAUCUGCAAGGUUUAAAACUUAGUGAUGGCCGACAAACAACCUGCCAACCCAGCCGCGGACAGCGAAGGAAGUCAUACCCCAAAGAAUCACAUUAUAUACAGGACUCAGAACUUUGACAAUCACAGACCCUGUCAGAACAUCAAACUGGACUGAUGAGGCAGAAUAUAUCUUACAGAAUGUUUCAACAAGCGAAAAGUCGAAGAAUGUGUUGACCCAGUGCUUAAUCUGAUUGCACCAGGGCAAUCAGAGAAAUUAAAACAAUUGAUUAUGUUAGGACCUUAAACAACUCCAACAGAUAAAGAGCUUACAAACUACAUGUAUAUGAGGAGAUAACUAACAUUGAACUUCACACUCAAAUUUUUUCAAUGUCAAAAAACUAUGUUAAUAUAUAUAACAGUAAUAAGAUGUACAUGUAUAACUAAUUUAUGUAGAAGAUAAGUGCAUAUAUGUAAGUCCCUUUUUCACUGAUUGUCCAUUAUACAUGUAUAGAAAGAAUAAAGAAAUUUUAUAUCUGAUCAUUACUUCAAGAAAAAUUAUGUGUAAUUAGCAUUAAGAAAGACAAAUUUAGCUGCAUGGUUAAUAACCAAGGAAGACAGAACAAUAACUAAUGAUUAAGUUAAUUGAAUUUCUAAUAUAAAAAAAGAAUCUCAAAAUGCUAUGAUAUUUAUAUAAUAACAAGUGAAAUACUUUGUACUUAUCAUGAUAUAUCAUGAUUUCAUCUUUAAUUACUAAUAUGUGUAUUUAUGUAAUUACCAUGAUGGUAGCUACAUUAUUUGGACUACAUACAGUGUUUUCCCCAGAAAAUGUUUGAUGCAUGGGGGGAAAUUUGUCAGAGUAGGUGCACGGUGCAGUGUUAAAGGGCCCACACUGGGGCAAAAACACUUCGGGUAAAAAUAAUAUAACCAUCUGAUGAAAUGUACUGCAUGAUAUGCACUAUAAUUAAUGCAUUUUCAUGAAAUUCAUAUUUUGUAUUUAUGUAAUUACCAUGAUGGUAGCUACAUUUUUGGACUACAUAUACAUGUAUAUAGGAAUAUUCUAAUAGCAUAAAUUUGUAUACACAGCAUUUACCCAACUGCUGCACAUUCAUAUAAAUGUAUGCACUAUUUUUAUCCCCCCUUCGAAGAAGGUAUGGCAUAUCACUUUGCUGCUGUGCGUCUCUCUCUCUGUCUGUCUGUUGGUCAGACGGCCAGUCCACCAACAGUUAUCAUUCAUUUUCUUCACAGGGGUUCCACAUUUUGAAAUGAAAUUUGGUAUACAGAUUUAUCUGAAUAAGAUCUAGGCAAAGUUAUUUUUUGGGUAUGAUUGAGCAAUUUUUGACCUUGGAAUUAAAAAAAAUUCCAAUUAUUUGCAUUUUCUUCUCAGAUGUUUCCAAAGGAGGGGGCAUAGUUGUUUCACAAACAUGUCUUGUUUGUGUGCAAUCGUUCACUUAGGAUUUUCUUUUUAAAAAAUUGUAAACUUUUAGCCUUUCCAGGGUCCAAAUUGAGGGAAAAAAAUCAAUAUGUAAUCUAUUGGUUGAUGUUUGAUAUAGCCAUCUAUAGUAUGUGUGAUACAUUUUGACAUGUAUGGUGUCAUGUAUAUCGAGUUAUUCAUGUGCAACUUGUUUAUUAUAUGUAUGACUGGAAGUCAGUUUAAUAAAGUACUUGUUAUGGUGUCACACA